RNAcentral lists this ribosomal RNA (943 nucleotides) under Cortinarius sp. 10 MD-2018. Its description in RNAcentral is "eukaryotic LSU rRNA". It matches the Rfam family "Eukaryotic large subunit ribosomal RNA", at positions 1 to 929 of the family's 3401-position model. The record is from RNAcentral. Lineage: Eukaryota; Fungi; Basidiomycota; Agaricomycetes; Agaricales; Cortinariaceae.
UGUGACCUCAAAUCAGGUAGGACUACCCGCUGAACUUAAGCAUAUCAAUAAGCGGAGGAAAAGAAACUAACAAGGAUUCCCCUAGUAACUGCGAGUGAAGCGGGAAAAGCUCAAAUUUAAAAUCUGUCAGUCUUUGACUGUCCGAGUUGUAAUCUAGAGAAGUGUUAUCCGUGCUGGACCGUGUACAAGUCUCCUGGAAUGGAGCGUCAUAGAGGGUGAGAAUCCCGUCUUUGACACGGACUGCCAGGGCUUUGUGAUGCGCUCUCAAAGAGUCGAGUUGUUUGGGAAUGCAGCUCAAAAUGGGUGGUAAAUUCCAUCUAAAGCUAAAUAUUGGCGAGAGACCGAUAGCGAACAAGUACCGUGAGGGAAAGAUGAAAAGAACUUUGGAAAGAGAGUUAAACAGUACGUGAAAUUGCUGAAAGGGAAACGCUUGAAGUCAGUCGCGUUGUCCAGGGAUCAACCUUGCUUUUGCUUGGUGUACUUUCUGGUUAACGGGUCAGCAUCAAUUUUGACUGUUGGAAAAAGAUCAAGGGAAUGUGGCAUCUUUAGAUGUGUUAUAGCCCUUGGUUGCAUACAAUGGUUGGGAUUGAGGAACUCAGCACGCCGCAAGGCCGGGUAUUAACCACGUACGUGCUUAGGAUGCUGGCAUAAUGGCUUUAAUCGACCCGUCUUGAAACACGGACCAAGGAGUCUAACAUGCCUGCGAGUGUUUGGGUGGAAAACCCGAGCGCGUAAUGAAAGUGAAAGUUGAGAUCCCUGUCGUGGGGAGCAUCGACGCCCGGACCAGACCUUUUGUGACGGUUCCGCGGUAGAGCAUGUAUGUUGGGACCCGAAAGAUGGUGAACUAUGCCUGAAUAGGGUGAAGCCAGAGGAAACUCUGGUGGAGGCUCGUAGCGAUUCUGACGUGCAAAUCGAUCGUCAAAUUUGGGUAUAGGGGCGAAAG